AGUGAACGCUGGCGGUAGGCCUAACACAUGCAAGUCGAACGGCAGCACAGUAAGAGCUUGCCCUUACGGGUGGCGAGUGGCGGACGGGUGAGGAAUACAUCGGAAUCUACUUUUUCGUGGGGGAUAACGUAGGGAAACUUACGCUAAUACCGCAUACGACCUACGGGUGAAAGCAGGGGAUCUUCGGACCUUGCGCGAUUGAAUGAGCCGAUGUCGGAUUAGCUAGUUGGCGGGGUAAAGGCCCACCAAGGCGACGAUCCGUAGCUGGUCUGAGAGGAUGAUCAGCCACACUGGAACUGAGACACGGUCCAGACUCCUACGGGAGGCAGCAGUGGGGAAUAUUGGACAAUGGGCGCAAGCCUGAUCCAGCCAUACCGCGUGGGUGAAGAAGGCCUUCGGGUUGUAAAGCCCUUUUGUUGGGAAAGAAAAGCAGCAGGUUAAUACCACGCUGUUCUGACGGUACCCAAAGAAUAAGCACCGGCUAACUUCGUG
Molecule: ribosomal RNA, 492 nt
Filed under: uncultured bacterium
Lineage: Bacteria
Description: partial 16S ribosomal RNA
Rfam family: Bacterial small subunit ribosomal RNA
Source: RNAcentral